AUUGAACGCUGGCGGCAGGCCUAAUACAUGCAAGUCGAGCGAACAGAUGAAGUGCUUGCACUUCUGACGUUAGCGGCGAACGGGUGAGUAACACGUAAGGAAUCUACCUAUAAGCGGGGGAUAACAUUCGGAAACGGGUGCUAAUACCGCAUAAUAUCUUCUUCCGCAUGGAAGAAGAUUGAAAGACGGCUCUGCUGUCACUUAUAGAUGACCUUGCGGUGCAUUAGUUAGUUGGUGGGGUAAUGGCCUACCAAGACGAUGAUGCAUAGCCGACCUGAGAGGGUGAUCGGCCACAUUGGGACUGAGACACGGCCCAAACUCCUACGGGAGGCAGCAGUAGGGAAUCUUCCGCAAUGGGCGAAAGCCUGACGGAGCAAGGCCGCAUGAGUGAAGAAGGCAUUCGGGUCGUAAAACUCUGUUAUAAGAGAAGAACAAAUUGUAGAGUAACUGCUACAGUCUUGACGGUAUCUUAUCAGAAAGCCACGGCUAACUACGUGCCAGCAGCCGCGGUAA
RNAcentral lists this ribosomal RNA (513 nucleotides) under uncultured bacterium. RNAcentral's name for it is "partial 16S ribosomal RNA". It matches the Rfam family "Bacterial small subunit ribosomal RNA", at positions 30 to 523 of the family's 1533-position model. The record is from RNAcentral.